AGCCCAUGUAAGGAGCUGAGUCCUUAAGA
RNAcentral lists this non-coding RNA (29 nucleotides) under Homo sapiens (human). The record is from RNAcentral. Lineage: Eukaryota; Metazoa; Chordata; Mammalia; Primates; Hominidae.